This 72-nucleotide microRNA precursor is filed under the name Medicago truncatula (barrel medic). RNAcentral describes it as "MIR2629 microRNA precursor family". It matches the Rfam family "MIR2629 microRNA precursor family". Lineage: Eukaryota; Viridiplantae; Streptophyta; Magnoliopsida; Fabales; Fabaceae. The record is from Rfam by way of RNAcentral.
UACCGAGGUUUUUCUCGGUAGUUAACUGCAGUCGGUUUUUGAAUUCUUCGGCAGUUAACUGCCGAGGGGAAA